This 494-nucleotide ribosomal RNA is filed under the name uncultured bacterium. RNAcentral describes it as "partial 16S ribosomal RNA". It matches the Rfam family "Bacterial small subunit ribosomal RNA", at positions 28 to 507 of the family's 1533-position model. The record is from RNAcentral.
GACGAACGCUGGCGGCGUGCUUAACACAUGCAAGUCGAACGGUGAAGCGCCUUCCUUUUUGGUGGGUGUGGUUGAGUGGCGAACGGGUGAGUAACACGUGAGUAACCUGCCCCCUUCUUCUGGAUAACCGCAUGAAAGUGUGGCUAAUACGGGAUAUUCUGGGUCUGUCGCAUGAUGGGUCUGGGAAAGAUAUUGUUUCGGUGGGGGAUGGGCUCGCGGCCUAUCAGCUUGUUGGUGGGGUGAUGGCCUACCAAGGCGGUGACGGGUAGCCGGCCUGAGAGGGUGGACGGUCACACUGGGACUGAGACACGGCCCAGACUCCUACGGGAGGCAGCAGUGGGGAAUAUUGCACAAUGGGCGCAAGCCUGAUGCAGCGACGCCGCGUGAGGGAUGGAGGCCUUCGGGUUGUGAACCUCUUUCGCCAGUGAAGCAGGCCUGCCUCGUUUGUGGGUGGGUUGACGGUAGCUGGAGAAGAAGCGCCGGCUAACUACGUG